RNAcentral lists this long non-coding RNA (7139 nucleotides) under Sus scrofa (pig). Its description in RNAcentral is "lncRNA (ENSSSCG00055017198.1)". The record is from RNAcentral. Lineage: Eukaryota; Metazoa; Chordata; Mammalia; Artiodactyla; Suidae.
CUCUUUCGCUUCCCGGAAGCAACGUGGCGGAGAGUCACCGCUGGAGCUCCCUGAAUCUCGCGUGUCCCACCGGGGGUUUCCGCUGGACCCUACUUGGUUCCUACCUUGCACGUCUACCAAAUCCUGUUGGAUGUUGGAAACUUGUAUUCCUGAAAGGAAUCCUAGACGCGUACUUUUGGAAUUGAGGAAAGAGGCCCAAGAAGAAAGUAUUGUUUACCUCCCUAAAUUGGAGAAGCAACCCAGGUCCCUUAACUCUGGGUGCAGUGGUCUUCCCAUUAGGCCGCUCUCAUUGAAUCUUUGAUGAUCAGGCCUACCUGCAGCUGGCUGAGUAUGCAGGAGUCCUGUGACUUAGCGGAUUCUUUUCGGCUUCUAUUCCCUGGAGUCUGAGCUCAGCCCAGCAGGAUCCAACCUUUUCUGCAGCCCUGGCAGAGCAGCCCACUAAAGUCUGCCUUUUGUGAGAGACUAAUCCCCCACACAGACCAUAGCAACGAGGUUGUCUACGUGGGAAAGGCGACAUGAUCUAGCUGGAAAGGUGGCUUGAAGCUUUUGUAGGAUGCUUUACAAAUGACUGAAGAAAUAUCACAUGGCCAUAUUCAAAGAAUUGGGGUCCAUUUCCCCCUACUACCACCAUGCCUUAAUCUAAGGCAGAAGGACAGAUGGAAUAGUGAUUCCGAGUGCUGAGAAACAGGUAUCUCUCUUCCCCUCACCUCAACCACAGUGACCAUCCCGUGGAUCCUGGCCCAGCCCUAAAACAAGGAAAGGAUAAGGAGAAGAUGGCUGUGACCCCAGCCUUGCUGGUGGGGUCACAGGCAGAAAAGCAGUGUUUUGUAAUACUUUUUUGUGACUAGGUGUGUCUAGGUAAAGAUAGAUCACACAUAAUUUGUCAUGCUAAGAAAUGGCUCUCGGACUUUAGAUUUUUCAAGAACUUUUUUUUUUUUUUAAGUCUGAAAAAGGAACUUUGUUUACUACCUUUUUAUUGUAGUUAAAAAGACAGUAAAGGAGUUCUCUGGUGUCUCAGUGGGUUAAGGAUCCAGCAUUGUCACUGCUGUGGCUCUGGUUACAUUGUGGCAUAGGGUUGGAUCCCUAGCCUGGGAACUUCUACAUGCCAAGGGGUGUGGCCAAAUAUAAAUUUAAAAAAGUAAAAAAGAUGGUAAAAAUUGGCCACUCAUUUCCUACAUGAAGGAAGAUUUUAACACUAAUUAUUAGCAAGGACAUCUUCACCCAGUAAAGAUUUGUUCUUUAAAUGAAGACAUUUAGCUUUUUGAAAGAUUCAGGCUCUUUUUUCUUAUUUUGUCUAAUUUGGCUGCAGAUGGGCACUGGUCCUUAGUACAGAGUUUGAGAACCACUGUCCAGAGAACUAGACAGAACAGACGGUGAAGCAGGCAGUGAGACUCUGUGGGAGAAGGUAUGGGUACUGUUAACAGGUGCCCUCCUCUGCUCACUGUCCUGGAUUGAGUCACAUGCUGCCCUGAACCUCAGCUGCCUUCCUAUAAAAUGAAGAGCUGAACAGAUGAACUCUAAAGCCCCUUCCAGCUGUAAAGUCACAUGAUUGCAGUUUAUGCUUUUUGAAAGCUGGGGCUUUCCCCUUUACUAAGAAACCUAGCUGACACUGGGUCACCUCCUGCCUCCACCCCACCCUCCACCCCCACCAGCUGUCAGGUUGUAAACCUCACAGUCUUCUUUGCCCUCUCCAACACAAUAAUUUUCCAUGUCCAGGCAGAAAGAAAAAAGAAAAAGAAAUCCUUUCUUCUCAUCUUUCAUGUUUACUCCUGUUACCAUCCUAGGCAGAUAUGGACUACUGCUAUUGCCUAACCAAUCUUUCCUCCUUCAGUUCUUCUCACCUUAAACCCACCAACAACAUAGUUCUUUCUAAGAUAUUCAUUUCAUCUUCUCAUUUCUCUAUUCGAAUAUCUGUGGUGGCUCUCUAAUGCUCAUGGAGUAAAGUCUCAACUCCUGUCUUCAGUUGCUCAAAUACAUCGUUUAUUCUGGCCUGAUUAGCUUCCUUCUUUUCCCCAUCAAACGCUAUAUACAAUCCAAUUUCAAGUCAGCUGUACUCAGCUAAUAAACGUGCCUGAACUUCCUCCCUCUUAACCAUAUAGAUCGAAUCUCAUGUCCUCUGUGAGGUGCUUCUGUAGCACAUGCUAUUUUUAGCGCUUGGACCUGUGGCUGAAGCCUAUGGUACCUGCUUCACAAAUGUGUGUCAGCUUAUAGAUUAUCUUCAAACCCAUGGAAGCAUGUUUUGUGUUGCUUUUGUGUCAACCUCAGUAUCUAGUAUACCUCCUAUAUAUUGUAGGUACUUAAUGAUUAUCACUUCCAAAACAAAAUGUAUGCUCCUCUCAUUUCAUCCUAUCCCAAUUUUCAUUUUCUGUCCUAUGUUCUAACUCCUUGGAGAACCUUCUCUUGGUGACUUCUAAGAAAAUGUAUCUUAAACUUUAGUGACAAGCAGAGAGAAUGCCAGGAAUAACUACUUUCCUCAAAUAUGCUCUCUUCUCUGCUAUACAUGCAUUUGACAUGGACCUCUAGAACAAAGUUUUCAUCUGUGUAGCUUAACCACCCAGAGGAGUGACAGUGACCCUGGGAAUUUAAAGUAAAAAAGGAAGAAAGGGCAGUACUAGUCUGACCUACUGACUGCCCGAAAAAAGCCUUGUGUCUCCUCAGAUCACACUCUGCACGCAGUGGUCUCUCACAGGCUUAUACAAGGCAUAGCUCCCAGUGGCUUUUUCAAGAGCCCAUUCUCAAGUUGGAUAAGGUGUAAGAAGCACAAGAAUAAUACAACACCAGAAAUUGAAGUUCAGAGCUUAGACACCAGACUAGAUUGUAACAGAGAAGAUGUCAGAGAAUGCAAAUUCAGUUGAUGAAGAAAGCAAAUUUAACAACCAAAUUGUUCUUCCCUUUUUUCAAUGUCCGGCAAAUAGCAUCACUGUAAAAGUAGGUUUUCUUUCCCAAUUAGGCCAGCCUGCACUCUGGUAGCCCAGACAGCAAAGCAACAGACAAGUCAAGACUAAAGUUUAAGUCAUGUGCUAAUUAAGGAAAGCAUCAUUGGCCUGAAACAAGUGUGAGAAUGUGGGGGCCAAUUUGCAGCUGUGAAAUCAUGGGACAAUUGGAAUUAGCAGCUGGGACUAUGGUGGGAAAUACCAUUCCUCUUUUAUAAUGUGCUCCUAAGGAAUUAUAAGAGUCAGUUUGAAUUACCUAAUUGCCAGAGAUUAGAAUGUAAUAGCUGUAAUUAUAUUUCCUAUACAGUUUAUUCAAAAUAUGAAGAAUAUGGAGUUCUCAUUGUGGCUCAGCGGAAACAAAUCUGACUAGGAACCAUGAGGUUGCAGGUUCGAUCCCUGGUUUCGCCCAGUGGGUUAAGGAUCUGGAGUUGCUGUGGCUGUGGUGUUGGUCUCAGACUUGGCUCAGAUCUGGCAUUGCUGUGGCUGUGGUGUAGGCUGGAAGCUGUAGCUCCAAUUCAACCCCUUGUCUGGGAACCUCCACAUGCCACAGGUGUGGCCCUAAAGAACAAAACAAAACAAACAAACCAACAAAACCCCCCCCCCCCCACAAAACACAAACAUGAAAAAUAUGACAAAUAAGAUACAAUUAUAUUGUAAUUUAGAAACAUCCUGCCAAGGAUAAUGUUCAUAACCCCAAAUCAACCUUGCAGUUUUAUGUAAAUAAUCAAGGGAAUUUGAACCAAGACAGCUUGCAAUGUUGGAAAAAGUAGAAGACUCAGGUUUUGUUACUGUAUACCACAGACUUGCUAUACAGCAUUGUUGAUAUUAUCUAUCAUGUGUAUUUCAAUGUUUCUCAAUUUGAGAUAUUAUAAUUAGAUCUAUUAAUACUGUUCCUAGUAUAUGGAAUAUAUGUCCACUGACCAACUAAAGGAACAAAUGAAUGAUUCUAUCUCCCAAAAGGCUGUUGAAGAUCUCCAAGGUGUUAUAUUUAUAUUUCAGGUAGCUACCACUAGGUGGAACUAGUUUGUGGGUGAGCAGAUGAGCAGGUAGCCUUCUCUUAGGUAGGGGUAAUAACGAUUUUUUUUUUAGGGCUUCGCCUAUGGCUUAUGGAAGUUCCCAGGCUAAGGGUCGAAUUGCAGCUGCUGCUGCUGGUCUAUACCACAGUCACAGCAAUGCUGGAUUCGAGAUGCAUCUGCAACUACACCACAGCUUACAGCAAUGCUGGAUCCUUAACCCACUGAGCAAGGCCAGGGAUCUAAUCCAUGUUCUCAUGGAUACUAGUUCAAGUUCGUACCCCACAGAGCCACAAUGGGAACUCCAAUAAUGAUGUUGUCUUAAUCCAUUGUGUACAAAUAUAUAUAUAACUUUAAGCUGAUAGCACAUCUUGGAGGUGAUAUUUAAUUUCUAUGUAGAAAUCUUACAUUAUUCAAAGAAAGUUGAUAGAGCUAUGUGGGAGAGACCACUUUUAAUUUACCGGUAGGUGGGCUUACUCUUCAGUGCUCAGGCCUGCUACAUUCUCUAUUCAGUUUCAAUGGUUGAGGAGCCCAAGGCCUACAAGCCAAAUGGUAACAGGAAGUUGGCUCCAGACAAGCACACUGUUACUAAGUUGUUACUUAGGUCUAUAGGUCUAUUCAACAGUUGUUGCAACUUGAAAUCGGAGGAAAUAGUGUUAUCACAUCUUCUAAUUAUUAUUUUUUAACUAGAAGUCUAGAUAAUUGGGUUAAAGUCACAUAGUGUUGUUUUCAUGUUUUUUGAAAACUUGUAUGGGGAAGAAAAAUCAACCACAGAAAAGACUGUCUCCAACAAGCCUUGUUUUACUGAUACAUUCAAAAGAUGAUGAAAGAGAAGUACAUGCUUAUUUCUAUGGGUAACAUAAUUUCUGAACCAUUUGAGUCUCACUUGCCUCUGAAGCUAGAUUUCCUGUACUCAAAUGCUGGCUUAAUUGUCUAUUAGUUGUUAAUCCUUGGGUAAGAGCUAUAGAUUGAAAGUUUUUGCCCCUCCCCCAAAUUCGCAUAUUGAAACUUAAUGCCCAAGGUGAUGGUAUUAGGUGGUGGGGCCUUUAGGGGGAGAUUAAAUAUGGGACUAGUGUUCUUAUAAGAGACCCCCUCCACAGGGAUCCCCUUGCCCCUUCCACCAAGUAAGGGUGCAGUGAAGUGGGGGGUCUCACCAGACACAGAAUCUGCCAGUGCCAUGAUCUUGCACUUCUCAGAACUGUGGGUAAUAAAUGCCUGUUAUUUAUUAGCCACUCAGUCUGGUAUUUUGUUAUAGCAGCCCAAAGCACUAAGAGUAAGGUAUUGAACCUCUCUGUAUGUGUCACGCAGCUUCUAAGAUGGUCCGUGUCUCCUAGAGUGCACACUUUGGGGCAACCUUUUCCCCAUGAGUGUGAACAGGAGCUGUAACUUGCUUCUAACCAAUGGAAUAGGUCAAAGGAGUUGGACUGUCACUUCUACAAUUAGGUUUCAAAAGAUUUGACUUUAUCUUGCUGGCAGACUCUCCCCCAUGCUGGCUUUGAUGAAACAGUUUAUCCCAACGGGGAGGCCCAUGUGGCAUGGAACUGACAAGUAGACACCGAACAACAGCCAGCUAGGAUUGAGGCCCUCAAUUCAACAUCUCAAAGGAACUGAAUCUUGCCAACAACUAUGUACAUGAGCUCAGAAGUAGGUCCUUUCCCGGUCAGGCCCUCAGAUGAAACCUGAGCCUUAACUGCAGCCACAUGAGAGACCCUGAAGCAGAGGCACCACUAAGUCAUGCACUGACCCAUAGCAAAUGUGAUGUAUGUAAUAAGUAUUUGUUGUUUUAAUCAAUUAAGUUUGUGGUCAAUUGUUGUGUAGCAAUAGGUAACUAAUAUACCAUGCCUUACUUUUCUCACCUUUAAGAUGGGAAAGAUAACAGCACUGCCCACCCCUGCCCCAAUUUAGGGUAUCAUGAGGCUUAAAUGUGUUCAUUCAUGUAAAGUGCUUAGAACAGUGCCCAGCAUGUAUGAGCUCAGUAGUGUUGGGCAUCUUUUCCUCAGGCAGACUCUAGAAGUGAAGUAGGGCAUCUUAGCCAGAAAGGGGAAGUAGCAGAAGCUGAAAGAGCUGUUUUGGUGCUGCUUCAAGCCCAAGUUACAAAUAGUGACAUCGUGCUGGGCAGAGGAAAAAUUUUUCCCACUGGUUUACAACCAUGGAGUACCUUUGCGGAAAAGCCUGAUGGAGGGACAGGGUCCCUCUGGAAACCCGGGGAGCCGUGUCCUCAUGGAGGGCACUGGGCAUUGGAGAAGAACUAGGGCAGAAGAUCAUCAGUGGAUUUAUCCUGAGAACACCUGACAAACUCCCUGGGGAAACCCAGAAACAACUGAUCCAGCAUGUGAGAUGAGCCUGUGAAGACUGAUGAGUCCUGCUACCAAGAUUUGUAGUGGAACCCUUCUGCUAAGCCUUGGAGUACCAAUCUGGUAACACUAAAUGGUCUAGAAGCAGGAUCUAUUGUCUAUCGUGUUUAUGUCUGAACCCCCCAGAACCCAGGGGACUAUGAUAUAGUUGAUGUUACACAAACGAUUCAGAAUGAACUCAGAAUAUAGAAGACUGGGCUGGAGGAAAGAUGUGUGUAAGCAAAUCAGUCUGCAUCUGUUUCUUUUUUUCAUAUGAAUUGCACAUUAAGGAUAAUCAGAACUACACAGGGUACAAUCCUGACAUCAUCAUCCUCAAUUUUCCUUGACGUCGUUGGGCAAAGUUUGUUCCAUGUAGAAAGAAGCUUUAUUGAAUUUCUGGACACAAAGGAAGAGCUAAAGUUAAUUACCCUAGUUGUUGCUAGUGGCAGGAAUUACUUCUUGUUAAGGCUGAAUAAUAUUCCAUUGUAUGUAUCUCCCACAUUGUCUUUAUCCAGUCAUCCGUCAGCGAGCAUUUAGGUUGUUUCCAUAUCUUGACUAUUAUGAAUAAUGUCGUAAAGAAUAUGGGGCCAUAGCUAUAUCUUUAGUAUCCUGAUUUUAACUGUUUUGGAUCUCUAUAUCCAGACGUGAUUGCCAGGGGCUGGGGAGGGGGCGAUGGGAGCUGCUAUUCGACAGACAUAAGGUUUCAGUUACACUAGAUGAAUAAAUUCUAGAUAUCUGCUGUACAACAUUGCUUUUAUAGUUUACAGUAUUGUAUUGUGAAUUUAAAAAUUGGGAUAGAUCCCAUGUUAAAAGUUCUUAUCACAAUAAAAAAACAAACUUUUUGACUCAUGUAUGCAAAA